GCCGCGCUAGCCCAAUUGGUAGAGGCGCCGGAUUUAGGUUCCGGAGGUUGGGGGUUCGAGUCCCUCGCGCGGUA
RNAcentral lists this transfer RNA (74 nucleotides) under Herbihabitans rhizosphaerae. It matches the Rfam family "tRNA". From Rfam's summary of the family: Transfer RNA (tRNA) molecules are approximately 80 nucleotides in length. Their secondary structure includes four short double-helical elements and three loops (D, anti-codon, and T loops). Lineage: Bacteria; Bacillati; Actinomycetota; Actinomycetes; Pseudonocardiales; Pseudonocardiaceae. The record is from Rfam by way of RNAcentral.